UAUACCAUGCAGUCGAGCGGAAGGCCCUUCGGGGUACUCGAGCGGCGAACGGGUGAGUAACACGUGAGCAACCUGCCCUAGGCUUUGGGAUAACCCUCGGAAACGGGGGCUAAUACCGAAUAUGACCUCGCAUCGCAUGGUGUGUGGUGGAAAGUUUUUCGGUCUGGGAUGGGCUGACGGCCUGUCCUCUUGUUGGGGGGGUGAGGUGUGCCUCACCGAGGCACCGAACGCUGGCCGAGAAGAAGGGUGACCGCCCCUUCGGGAUUGAAGCGGGUCCUACCUCCUACGGGAGGCAGUGGUGAGGAAUAUUUGACGUGUGGGGCAUGAAUGAUGUAC
Molecule: ribosomal RNA, 336 nt
Filed under: Micromonospora sp.
Lineage: Bacteria; Bacillati; Actinomycetota; Actinomycetes; Micromonosporales; Micromonosporaceae
Description: bacterial SSU rRNA
Rfam family: Bacterial small subunit ribosomal RNA
Source: RNAcentral